RNAcentral lists this ribosomal RNA (253 nucleotides) under uncultured bacterium. Its description in RNAcentral is "partial 16S ribosomal RNA". It matches the Rfam family "Bacterial small subunit ribosomal RNA", at positions 524 to 776 of the family's 1533-position model. The record is from RNAcentral.
UACGUAGGGUGCAAGCGUUGUCCGGAAUUAUUGGGCGUAAAGAGCUCGUAGGCGGCUUGUCACGUCGACUGUGAAAACCCGGGGCUCAACUCCGGGCCUGCAGUCGAUACGGGCUGGCUUGAGUGCGGUAGGGGAGACUGGAAUUCCUGGUGUAGCGGUGAAAUGCGCAGAUAUCAGGAAGAACACCAAUGGCGAAGGCAGCUCUCUGGGACGGUACUGACGCUGAGACGCGAAAGCGUGGGGAGCGAACAGG